UAUACUUUUCUCAACCACUUUUGUUUUCUUUUCUUUAAAUCAAACAAAAUCAAAUUAAAUCAAAUUUAAGUCUGGUACCAAAUGCCAUGUUCCUGUAGGUACUGGAUUUGCUCCAAGAGACUAAUGACCUUGCCGGGGACUGUCUUUCUGGAAAUAUGUCUUGAAGCUUGAACGGUGAAGUCUCCCCCUUGGCAGUCGAUGAUCUGCGUUUAGAUACCGACUCUUCUACAUGGAUAGAA
This is a non-coding RNA of Punica granatum (pomegranate), 239 nucleotides long. NCBI's taxonomy places the organism in Eukaryota, Viridiplantae, Streptophyta, Magnoliopsida, Myrtales, Lythraceae. The record is from RefSeq and is a predicted model, not a curated record.